RNAcentral lists this ribosomal RNA (355 nucleotides) under uncultured bacterium. RNAcentral's name for it is "bacterial SSU rRNA". It matches the Rfam family "Bacterial small subunit ribosomal RNA", at positions 8 to 350 of the family's 1533-position model. The record is from RNAcentral.
AGAGUUUGAUCAUGGCUCAGGACGAACGCUAGCUACAGGCUUAACACAUGCAAGUCGAGGGGAAACGACAUCGAAAGCUUGCUUUUGAUGGGCGUCGACCGGCGCACGGGUGAGUAACGCGUAUCCAACCUGCCCACCACUUGGGGAUAACCUUGCGAAAGUAAGACUAAUACCCAAUGACGUCUCUAGAAGACAUCUGAAGGAGAUUAAAGAUUUAUCGGUGAUGGAUGGGGAUGCGUCUGAUUAGCUUGUUGGCGGGGUAACGGCCACCAAGGCGACGGAUCAGUAGGGGGUUCUGGAGAGGAAGGUCCCCCACAUUGGAACUGAGACACGGUCCAAACUCCUACGGGAGGCA